This 77-nucleotide transfer RNA is filed under the name Candidatus Thermokryptus mobilis. Its description in RNAcentral is "tRNA_Arg_CCG". It matches the Rfam family "tRNA". From Rfam's summary of the family: Transfer RNA (tRNA) molecules are approximately 80 nucleotides in length. Their secondary structure includes four short double-helical elements and three loops (D, anti-codon, and T loops). The record is from RNAcentral. Lineage: Bacteria; Pseudomonadati; Candidatus Kryptoniota.
GCGCCUGUAGCUCAACUGGACAGAGCGUGGGCCUCCGGAGCCCGAGGUUGCGGGUUCAAGUCCCGCCAGGCGCGCAA